GAGAGAAAGACAUAGUUGAGAUGGAAAUUGGUCGAAACUCUACACCAGGAUUCCCAGAUCCUAUUGGUGUCAGGUCAUCUCUAAGCACACUACUCCUUACAAGGCUCCACAAAAAGUCUGAUGCAGUAUUAAAUGCUGAAGAGAAAACUUUACUUACUGUAUUAAAAUGCCAUUAAAAUCACCAGAGUUGAUAUUGGAGCUCAAAACAGAAGGAAGUGUCUAGGGAAGAGAAGGAUUAUCAGCUCUCUGAAGACAACAAAGGAGAGCUCCGAUUGGAGAGUAGCCAUCUCCAAGUGCAUGGUGAAUCUUGAAUAUUAAAAUCCCAGAAGCAUUGCUUGUUGGGUAUUUGAUUAUGUGAAUUUCCCAUAAAGGUUGGCUCUGUGGAAGCUGCUCAAGUGAUAACUUUGAUAAGUAAUCAUCAAGGCACUUGUCGUAGAAUUGAGGUGACAUUCCAGAGGGGAAAAUGGGUAUUUUUACGAGAUUGUUGAGAUUUACAUCCACCUUUCUCCAUCUUUUUUCUCCAUUAUAAUCUUCAACCAGUGCGAAGAGCUGAAGAGCU
Molecule: unclassified non-coding RNA, 559 nt
Filed under: Hevea brasiliensis (rubber tree)
Lineage: Eukaryota; Viridiplantae; Streptophyta; Magnoliopsida; Malpighiales; Euphorbiaceae
Source: RNAcentral